Molecule: unclassified non-coding RNA, 305 nt
Organism: Petromyzon marinus (sea lamprey)
Lineage: Eukaryota; Metazoa; Chordata; Hyperoartia; Petromyzontiformes; Petromyzontidae
Rfam family: Metazoan signal recognition particle RNA
About the family: The signal recognition particle (SRP) is a universally conserved ribonucleoprotein. It is involved in the co-translational targeting of proteins to membranes.
Source: Ensembl
UUAGCUUUCUUUUUCAGAAGCAACCUGGCCACAAAUGAUAGGUAAGCGACGUGGGUUGCGGGAUCGCUUGAGGACGGGAGUCCUGCGCUGUGAGGCUCUAUGCCGAUCGGGCGUCCGCACCAAGUUCGGUAUCAAUAUGGUGAGCGAGGGGGAGCUCCCGCGCACCAGGUUGUUGUACUAAGGAGGGACGAACCGGCCCAGGCCGGAGACGGAGCAGGCCAAAGUCCCCGUGCCGAUCAGUGGUGGGACAGCGCCUGUGAAUAGACCUCUCAGGGCAGCCCGGCCGACACAGCGAGACCCAAUCC